AAUAUUUUUUCAAUUAUUUUAUGUGAAUUUUUUUUCUUGUAUAGUAUCUCAUACUAUGAUGAACACGUUAAAUUUUUAUUUACUGUUUUAUGGCGUUAUGAUUGUUAUUGUUAGAUACAACCCUCUUACCAUGAUCUUUUAUGUAAAAAGUUUGGCAAUAAUAAUAAAAAAGAGGGUCAGGUGCACUACCACCUCACAGCAUCACUAACUCAACAGUCCAGUACAGUUUCUCUCAGCGACAAUAUCUGCACAAACGAAACGUCGAACAGCUGCUCGAAGAUCUUGCCUUUGGAGAAGAUUGUUGAUUUUAUACUCUAAAAAUACGGUGAACCCCACAUCUUACUAUCAUCUCAACACAGCUGAGACAGUUCUGCUGCUGCGCUGUGCUUCACAAUCUCACUCUUCUCAACGGGGAUGUCGUUGAGCAACAGGAUGAGGAAGACCUUGAUGACGGCUCUCUGAACCACACAACCUUGAAACGAGAGCAGAAGAACACAUGCAGGACAAUCUGACUGCUGCUGUGUCUGCUCCAAACAAUCAUGUGCUGCUCUCCAUGAGCACCACUACCUGUAAAACAUUUACACAGAGUUUACAAGUACAUACAUUGAUUUAUUACUUUUGUAGUGUGCUAAACCACUGAACUGGUUCAAAACUGUGCUUGAGCACGGCUCUUUUCUCCAGCUUGAUCAGAGGAUUGUAGGCCCCUGUAAUAAGAGCACUGUCAAUCACUUCAGAUAAAAGCUCCAUCACAUUUUUUGAUGAUGCUUUUGAAAGUCAGCCUUCAUCGUAUAAACAGAAACCAGCAGAACAAACUUUACCAAAAUCAAAUCCUCAGUGUCUUUUGGUCUUUCUCUAGAUGCUCUCGCUGCUCAGGGGCCACUGAGGAUGAAGAGACCACAGCAGCAUCUGGUCCUGAUGAGACAGUAAGAGCUGGAGUGAUGGAACGUCUCAUCCGUGUCUCUGGACCAUUUCCGGAUGCUGCAGUGGACUUCUCCAUCCUCAGUGCACACACCAGUCUGCAGACAUUUUCAUAACCUACAGAAAUACACACACAC
This is a long non-coding RNA of Cyprinus carpio (common carp), 1055 nucleotides long. RefSeq lists it as uncharacterized. NCBI's taxonomy places the organism in Eukaryota, Metazoa, Chordata, Actinopteri, Cypriniformes, Cyprinidae. The record is from RefSeq and is a predicted model, not a curated record. The transcript has 2 exons.